GGAGGAAUGCGAGAGUGGCUGAAUCGGCACGCUUGGAAAGCGUGUAGCCAUCCAAAAGGUGGCUCCUGGGUUCGAAUCCCAGUUCCUCCG
This 90-nucleotide transfer RNA is filed under the name Candidatus Omnitrophota bacterium. RNAcentral's name for it is "Candidatus Omnitrophica bacterium (groundwater metagenome) tRNA-Ser". It matches the Rfam family "tRNA". From Rfam's summary of the family: Transfer RNA (tRNA) molecules are approximately 80 nucleotides in length. Their secondary structure includes four short double-helical elements and three loops (D, anti-codon, and T loops). Lineage: Bacteria; Pseudomonadati; Candidatus Omnitrophota. The record is from RNAcentral.